RNAcentral lists this ribosomal RNA (380 nucleotides) under uncultured eukaryote. Its description in RNAcentral is "partial 18S ribosomal RNA". It matches the Rfam family "Eukaryotic small subunit ribosomal RNA", at positions 592 to 976 of the family's 1831-position model. The record is from RNAcentral.
CAAUAGCGUAUAUUAAAGUUGUUGCAGUUAGAACGCUCGUAGUCGGAUUUCGGGGCGGGCCGACCGGUCUGCCGAUGGGUACGCACUGGUCGGCGCGUCCUUCCUUCCGGAGACCGUGCCUACUCUUAACUGAGCGGGGGCGGGAGACGGAUCGUUUACUUUGAAAAAAUCAGAGUGUUUCAAGCAGGCAGCUCGCUCUUGCAUGGAUUAGCAUGGGAUAAUGAAAUAGGACUUUGGUGCUAUUUUGUUGGUUUCGAACACCGAAGUAAUGAUUAACAGGGACAGUCAGGGGCACUCGUAUUCCGCCGAGAGAGGUGAAAUUCUCAGACCAGCGGAAGACGAACUACUGCGAAAGCAUUUGCCAGGGAUGUUUUCACUGG